CAGGAUUAAAAGAUAAACUAUUGUUGCAUUUAGAACUGUGUUUAGAAUACAAUAAUUUGUUGUUGUUUUGUAAUAGGACUGAAGCCAAUAUUAAAGCAAGUCAACCAAAGGUUCUCUGGUGUAGACAAGACAGCAAAAGGACAGACUACCUUGUGGAACCUAGCAUUGUUCUCCUUCUGCAGCACUAAGUAACAUUUGUUCUCCGUUAAGAUCUUUGCAAACCACACACAAGAAUUGCUGGUCAUCCUGCCAAUAGAUGCUGCUCACAGAACCAAAUUUCCUGUGCUGAAUUGUCACUCAUGGGCUUGAGAGUAGGAGACUGGAGACCAAGGUGGCUAGAAUCCAGUUGGGCCUGAUGUCUCCCUGUUGAAAGGGCUCCUUGUGGAAUGAAUAGCACAUGGCUCCUGUGGUGGAUCUGAUAGUGGCAUAGCACCAAGUGAUGCAGGCCUGCCAGGGGCCACAGACACAGAAGAUGCUCCCGGGGUCCCCCAUGUACUCCAGACACACUGCAGGCCACCUCUCCCAGCAGGUUGCCAGUCAUGGGCCCCAUCAUCAUGACUUCUGUCCAAGGUACUGUGUGCAGAAAUGUGAUUGAGAUUCAAGUCAGGGCCUCUCUGCCCUUUUCCCUCCAGAAACAAAACCAAGAUAAUUUAUCCUGAACACGGUGAAAAAAGGAAGGGAGGGAGGAGAAAAAGUCCGGGUCUCACCUGGGAUUCUCUGUCUCCUGCAACAUGAAGGAUUUAGCCUGGGAGGAGGUGGUGAGAACUCUGGGAGAGAAAAAAGAAGGAAAGAAUAGUUUUACCCAUGCUGAAGUUAAUUUAAACCUUCACCUAGAGAAGCAAAAAAAAAAAACCCACACUUUCCCAUUUUGUGCCUCCCUUCCUAGAGUUUUAGCCAAAGGUUUAGCUAAGUAAUUGGUUUUACCAGCGCACUCACUCCUCCUAUCCCAAGUCUGUUUGACUCCCUCCCCAUCAUCCUCCUCACCUCUUUUCAGGCAGGGUGGGGAUAGCAGCAGGAGGAGAUUUUGGGAGCCUGGCAACUCCUGCAAGGACCGCAGGACAGCCCCUCUGUGGGGAUGCGUGGUGCCCCAUCUGCCGCCCUUCUGAAGAAUGCACUGCCUUCACUUUUUACUGUGUUAGAGUCCAUCCAGACUGUUCUAUCCAAAAAAGUUUCUUUUUCCCCCACAGGCAAUCAGGAAAUGAUUCCUUUCCCGACUGCUUCUGUCUAGUGCCUGGGAAUCUUGAGUCAAUCCCUCAGUAAGUCAGUGACUAGGGAAAUCCCUCUCUGAGCCUCCCAGUUCAUGUUGCUUAGGGAACCUGAUAUUUUCGUGAAACCUGCCUACACAUGGGCAGCCCAACAGCAGAACAAAUGGUGGUGACCAAAGUGAACAAAGAAGUAUAGUUGUGCCAGCUUCGUAGUUGCCCAUGUGGACAAGUCAGCAGGAUCAGGACACGAGGAAGAGUAAAUGUGAGACAGUCAAUGUGACUUCUGCGAUAAACAGAUUUUUAAACCCCGAAAUUUUGCAAAAUUUUGGUGAAACCUGAACUUUCUUCGUUGCAUAUACUGGCACUAUCUGUACCAUCAUACAACUGUCUCACAUUAAAGCUAUUUUUCUUGGGCACUGAUGAGUAAGGUUGGUAUAAGUUCCUCAGAUCAACAAAAACCCAUUUUCCUGUAAGUCUUACAUUUAGUAUUUAAGGAACUAAAACUUAAAUACAUUUUGUGAAAUGGUUGACACUUCACUGAUAAUGAUUUAUUGCUUGGAUUAAUAAAUUUUCCAAAAGUUGUCUUAUGUAGAAUAUGGUUUGCAACCAGCAGAACCAUUAAUCUAUACUGCAAUGAUAUGCACUAUGUAUAAUUGUUUAAAAGCCUCUACUUAAUGAUGUAAAAUGCUCUAUUUAAUUACACAUUUGGGUAAACUGUAUACUAACAUCUGAUGGCAUUUUUCCACUGUUUGUUGCUUUUUUCAAAUACUUUAUUGUACAAAGCUGUUCUUAAUAUUUUUCAAGUUUUUUUCUUUGAAUUUUGCUAAUGUUUUCCUUGAAUUAUGAGCACUGACAGAAUGUGCUUAGCACUUUUGGCUAUUCACACAGCUUUUGAGCAUGAUUUGCAUCCAAUAUUUACAUUGCUAGCAAUAAUAAGCCAUCUGUGAGUUUUGUCAAAAGUUAUUGGGGAUUUUUUAAAUUUUAGAAAUGCAAAUUAUUGUUUCUUUGAACUAACUCUUAUGCAGUUGCAAAGGCAUUUCCAGUUGUUAUAGUUUGUGUACAAUAUCAGGUGUUCCAGAUUAUGAUUCAUUAUUAAUAUCAUUGCUUCCUUGUUCCCUCUGAGGUCCAGAAGAUUCAUGUUUA
RNAcentral lists this long non-coding RNA (2348 nucleotides) under Homo sapiens (human). RNAcentral describes it as "non-protein coding lnc-TRIM26-2:31". Lineage: Eukaryota; Metazoa; Chordata; Mammalia; Primates; Hominidae. The record is from RNAcentral.